AAAUCUGGCGUAUUCUGCGUCCGAGUUGUAAUUUGAAGAAGGAUACUUUGGGGUUGGCUCUUGUCUAUGUUUCUUGGAACAGAACGUCACAGAGGGUGAGAAUCCCGUGCGAUGAGAAGCCCAAUUCCGUGUAAAGUGCCUUCGAAGAGUCGAGUUGUUUGGGAAUGCAGCUCUAAGUGGGUGGUAAAUUCCAUCUAAAGCUAAAUAUUGGCGAGAGACCGAUAGCGAACAAGUACAGUGAUGGAAAGAUGAAAAGAACUUUGAAAAGAGAGUGAAAAAGUACGUGAAAUUGUUGAAAGGGAAGGGCUUGAGAUCAGACUUGGUAUUUUGUAUGUCUUGCUUUCGGGUGGGGCCUCUGCAGUUUACUGGGCCAGCAUCGGUUCGGGUGGUAGGACAAUUGCGAAGGAACGUGGCACUGCUUCGGUGGUGUGUUAUAGCCUUUGUGGAUACUGCCUG
Molecule: ribosomal RNA, 456 nt
Filed under: Hemisphaericaspora elongata
Lineage: Eukaryota; Fungi; Ascomycota; Pichiomycetes; Serinales; Debaryomycetaceae
Description: Spathaspora elongata partial large subunit ribosomal RNA
Rfam family: Eukaryotic large subunit ribosomal RNA
Source: RNAcentral